CUUAAUGUGGCAGAAAUUAAAUGCAAUGAAUUUAAGCUUCAUUUAUAAAGACUCUUCUUUCGUUAAGA
This 68-nucleotide transfer RNA is filed under the name Triatoma huehuetenanguensis. RNAcentral describes it as "tRNA-Leu". RNAcentral also lists the same sequence under 1 other name. Lineage: Eukaryota; Metazoa; Arthropoda; Insecta; Hemiptera; Reduviidae. The record is from RNAcentral.